RNA transcript from Panicum virgatum (switchgrass), 2590 nucleotides. RefSeq lists it as uncharacterized. NCBI's taxonomy places the organism in Eukaryota, Viridiplantae, Streptophyta, Magnoliopsida, Poales, Poaceae. The transcript is spliced from 10 exons. The record is from RefSeq and is a predicted model, not a curated record.
GGGAGGCGAAACAUGCGGCCGACGAUGCUGGCGCCGCGGAGCCUGCGGAAGGCGGCCGUCCCGCCGGCCCUGCUCUCCGACCCAACGCCCGGCAUCCUCCAGCCCACCCGCCUCGCCAUCCACGUCAAUGGCGCCGGCUCCUCCUGCUCUGCCUACCUCGCCUCCGGCUGCCGCGUCUACAAGAUCGAGAUAAGCAUGGAUGGUGCAAUGCUGUCGAAAGGAAAGGAGAGCCUUUUGAUUCCUGAUAAUGCUCAGGUAGAGCUCCCUUGCUUCCUAGGCACUGUUGUUUCUCUUCCUCUUUCAGUUAUGCCUAUUGAAAAAUCAAUUCUCUAUGAAAGGUCAUAAGCUCGUCAAUUGUGAAUUGCUGCCCGCAUCGUUCUGAGAUUCAGAGUGUGGCUCUUGCAGAGGGUGAAGGUGCAGUAUUCAGCAUUUAAUGAUAACAUGGCAUUGGAUCUUAUUUUGUAGUUGCGUUACUCAUUUGGCAAUUGGUAUAAAAGAUAAUAUAGUAAUAUGAGUCAAAUAACCUCCAAAACCUAUUUUGAACUUUUGAUAUCUUAUCUUCCUGCUUUUGAGUUGGCAUAUCCAGCUUUACCGGAUGAAACUAAAGGCUAUUGGUAUCAGAGAGCGUGCAUGGAUAGCAUGACCAUACAUUAUGUUUUAGCUGGAGGGAAUGCUGUUAGAACUACAAUCUGCUUCAAAUUUUUCAACAAGCACUUCCUGCCAUAUUUAAAAAUUUCUGAUGAAUAUACUGUGGAUUUUUGGAUCUCCAUGGCUUGUAUCAAGGUUUUCUGUUUUUCCUGGCAUACUAGGUGAUAACUGCUUGAUCCUGGGAACAGUUGACUCGUAUGGUCACCUUAUUGUAUCUCGUUUGGACAUCAUGGCUGAUGGACAUCCUAUUCAGUACCACCUCGUGAUUGUGGUGUUGGGGAAGGCAGUUGGGCUGGGAUAUGCUUUAGCCCAACUCAGCGAUCCAUGGUAGCUGUUGCUCGCCAGUUAUGCAAGAGCAUUGACAUCUACGAUCAGGACUUUCAUGUUCGCAGUUUGCGCACGUUAUGGUAUCCAUCUUCAUUCAGCUUUGUUCAAUGCUCGCCACAAGUGAAUGAAAGCAAUUCUCUGUUGGCAAUUGCUGAAUGUUCUCAGCUGAGCAUAUGGGACUUAAGAAUGAACAACAAUGGGGGAUGUGUACAACGCAUUUCUGGAUCCAUUGGAGAUGUUAUAUAUUCCGUUUGUAGUUCGCCUUCAGGGCCAAUUGCUACUGGUGGAACAGACCGUGCUGUCACCAUCUAUGAUCCUCGCAGGUGGUCUGCUUUGUCAAGAUGGGUGGGCUGCUCCAAGUAUGAGGUUUGAUAUGUCACUUCUGAUCCUACUUCCUGCAGCUGAGAUCAAUGGCGGAGCUACGUGUGGGCCAAAGUGGGCCAUGCCCCCUCCUUCCUCCAUGCUAGCCUAUGCAUAUCUAUUUGCCUAAAUUGCUGUUACUAAUAAUAUAGAGAAGAACAGCAUAGGAAGUGGCAGAUCCAUGGAAGGGAGAGUGAGCUCAAGUACUCCAUACUGGUUGCUGGAUAAGGGAGCACCUCGCCUCUCUCCAAUUUCUAUUAUGGAUGGGAGUUCCAAAGAUAGAAGAAGAAGAGCCUCUGCUCGUUUUGACUAAACUGACUGAAAGGGUAAAAGAAUAGUCGUCUAUGGCAUGUAAAGAGUGAAAGAGUACUUGAGCCAUUGAACCAGUUCAUCCCACCAUUUACUCAAGCCCCAUUUAAUAAGCCAUACCUUAAUUCCAAAUCCUUUAAUCCAGCAGCAUUAGAUUAAUCAAAGUUGUGUGUGACAGGGUGUUGAGGCGAGGCUAUUAGCAUUACUGUGAUCACUGUAGCAACGCCCCCCCCCCCCCCUAUGUUCAAUGCUAGCUCCACCACUUGCUGAGAUAUUGGAAAUAUAGUACCGGGAGAAUUAUGAAAAUGGGAAAUGUGAACUACAUUUCAUUUUUCAUGCAAAUCACAGGGGUAAAUUUCAUCCACUUUAUUUCUUUCCCAUGCAGAUUACAGGCCUUUCAUUCUCAUCAGUUGACCAAUCUUUUAUCUACGUCCAAGGUGUUGACUAUGAGAUUACCUGUGGGUGUUGGAAAGAAAGUGAACGAGCAUUCUCAUUUCGAGGCGAUUCCAAUUGGUUGGGUUUUUCAAAGUGUGCCAAUACUGAUGUGGUGGCAGGGUGGUGCGAGUCCGGUAGUAUCUUCGUAGCUGAUGCAAGGCAGAGUAGGAGAUAAUUACCUUCAUCAUCUUCGUAGCUGAUGCAAGGCAGCUGUAGGAGACAAUUACCUUCAUCUGAUCUCCUGUAGCUCCGGAACAUUUGCUUUCUUUUUUUCAUUUCUUGAAGACAGUAACGGCCUGGUACGAACAUGAUCUGACUUCUUGAGUCACCAUCAUUCACGAACAUUCCCAAGAGGAAUUGUGCUCAACUCUCUAGUACUGAAUAGCUUGCAAAACUGAUGCUUACCGACCAUCCGAGGUCUUGAAAACCGUCGCGUCUUGUGUCAGAUCGAACGCAGCAAAUUGAAUUCAAUAGUCGCUCAAGAGGGUAUUGUGUUGUACAGUAUCACUAA